Molecule: ribosomal RNA, 114 nt
Filed under: Ascomycota sp. MA5320
Lineage: Eukaryota; Fungi; Ascomycota
Description: partial 5.8S ribosomal RNA
Rfam family: 5.8S ribosomal RNA
About the family: 5.8S ribosomal RNA (5.8S rRNA) is a component of the large subunit of the eukaryotic ribosome. It is transcribed by RNA polymerase I as part of the 45S precursor that also contains 18S and 28S rRNA.
Source: RNAcentral
AGUCAAAACUUUCAACAUGGAUCUCUUGGUUUCCGGCAUCGAUGAAAAAACGCAACCGAACUGCGAUAAGUAAUGUGAUUUGCANAAUUCAGUGNAAUCAUCAAGUCUUUGAAC